RNAcentral lists this ribosomal RNA (1389 nucleotides) under metagenome. Its description in RNAcentral is "bacterial SSU rRNA". It matches the Rfam family "Bacterial small subunit ribosomal RNA". The record is from RNAcentral.
AACGGGUGAGUAAUGCGUGACCGACCUGCCCCAUGCUCCGGAAUAGCUCCUGGAAACGGGUGGUAAUGCCGGAUGUUCCACAUGAUCGCAUGUGAUUGUGGGAAAGAUUCUAUCGGCGUGGGAUGGGGUCGCGUCCUAUCAGCUUGUUGGUGAGGUAACGGCUCACCAAGGCUUCGACGGGUAGCCGGCCUGGAGGGCGACCGGCCACAUUGGGACUGAGAUACGGCCCAGACUCCUACGGGAGGCAGCAGUGGGGAAUAUUGCACAAUGGGCGCAAGCCUGAUGCAGCGACGCCGCGUGAGGGAUGGAGGCCUUCGGGUUGUAAACCUCUUUUGUUUGGGAGCAAGCCUUCGGGUGAGUGUACCUUUCGAAUAAGCGCCGGCUAACUACGUGCCAGCAGCCGCGGUAAUACGUAGGGCGCAAGCGUUAUCCGGAUUUAUUGGGCGUAAAGGGCUCGUAGGCGGCUCGUCGCGUCCGGUGUGAAAGUCCAUCGCUUAACGGUGGAUCUGCGCCGGGUACGGGCGGGCUGGAGUGCGGUAGGGGAGACUGGAAUUCCCGGUGUAACGGUGGAAUGUGUAGAUAUCGGGAAGAACACCGAUGGCGAAGGCAGGUCUCUGGGCCGUCACUGACGCUGAGGAGCGAAAGCGUGGGGAGCGAACAGGAUUAGAUACCCUGGUAGUCCACGCCGUAAACGGUGGACGCUGGAUGUGGGGCACGUUCCACGUGUUCCGUGUCGGAGCUAACGCGUUAAGCGUCCCGCCUGGGGAGUACGGCCGCAAGGCUAAAACUCAAAGAAAUUGACGGGGGCCCGCACAAGCGGCGGAGCAUGCGGAUUAAUUCGAUGCAACGCGAAGAACCUUACCUGGGCUUGGCAUGUUCCCGACGACGCCAGAGAUGGCGUUUCCCUUCGGGGCGGGUUCACAGGUGGUGCAUGGUCGUCGUCAGCUCGUGUCGUGAGAUGUUGGGUUAAGUCCCGCAACGAGCGCAACCCUCGCCCCGUGUUGCCAGCACGUUAUGGUGGGAACUCACGGGGGACCGCCGGGGUUAACUCGGAGGAAGGUGGGGAUGACGUCAGAUCAUCAUGCCCCUUACGUCCAGGGCUUCACGCAUGCUACAAUGGCCGGUACAGCGGGAUGCGACAUGGCGACAUGGAGCGGAUCCCUGAAAACCGGUCUCAGUUCGGAUCGGAGCCUGCAACCCGGCUCCGUGAAGGCGGAGUCGCUAGUAAUCGCGGAUCAGCAACGCCGCGGUGAAUGCGUUCCCGGGCCUUGUACACACCGCCCGUCAAGUCAUGAAAGUGGGCAGCACCCGAAGCCGGUGGCCUAACCCCUUGUGGGAUGGAGCCGUCUAAGGUGAGGCUCGUGAUUGGGACUAAGUCGUAACAAGGUA